Molecule: ribosomal RNA, 502 nt
Filed under: uncultured bacterium
Lineage: Bacteria
Description: bacterial SSU rRNA
Rfam family: Bacterial small subunit ribosomal RNA
Source: RNAcentral
AUUGAACGCUGGCGGCGUGCCUAACACAUGCAAGUCGAGCGGCAGCGCGGGAGCAAUCCUGGCGGCGAGCGGCGGACGGGUGAGUAAUGCUUGGGAAUCUGCCUGUUAGUGGGGACAACCCGGGGAAACGUCGGGCUAAUACCGCAUACGCACUACGGUGGAAAGCCGGGGACCGCAAGGCCUGGCGCUAACAGAUGAGCCCAAGUCGGAUUAGCUAGUUGGUAGGGAACGGCCUACCAAGGCGACGAUCCGUAACUGGUCUGAGAGGACGACCAGUCACACCGGAACUGAGACACGGUCCGGACUCCUACGUGAGGCAGCAGUGGGGAAUAUUGGACAAUGGGGGAAACCCGUGAUCCAGCGACGCCGCGUGGGUGAAGAAGGCCUGCGGGUUGUAAAGCCCUUUCAGGUGGGGAAGAAAAGCCUCGACCUAACACGUCGGGGUCUUGACGUAACCCAUAGAAGAAGCACCGGCUAACUCUGUGCCAGCCGCCGCCGUAAU